GACGAACGCUGGCGGCGUGCUUAACACAUGCGAGUCGAACGGAAAGGCCCCUUUGGGGGUACUCGAGUGGCGAACGGGUGAGUAACACGUGAGUAACCUGCCCUUGACUUCGGGAUAACUUCAGGAAACUGGGGCUAAUACCGGAUAGGAAUCCUUGCUGCAUGGUGGGGGUUGGAAAGCUUCGGCGGUUUUGGAUGGACUCGCGGCUUAUCAGCUUGUUGGUGGGGUAGUGGCUUACCAAGGCUUUUACGGGUAGCCGGCCUGAGAGGGCGACCGGCCACAUUGGGACUGAGGUACGGCCCAGACUCCGACGGGAGGCAGCAGUGGGGAAUAUUGCACAAUGGGCGGAAGCCUGAUGCAGCAACGCCGCGUGCGGGAUGACGGCCUUCGGGUUGUAAACCGCAUUCAGCAGGGGCGAAGCUUGUGGUGACGGUACCUGCAGAAGAAGCACCGGCUAACUACGUG
RNAcentral lists this ribosomal RNA (465 nucleotides) under uncultured bacterium. Its description in RNAcentral is "partial 16S ribosomal RNA". It matches the Rfam family "Bacterial small subunit ribosomal RNA", at positions 28 to 507 of the family's 1533-position model. The record is from RNAcentral.